Molecule: long non-coding RNA, 529 nt
Filed under: Zea mays
Lineage: Eukaryota; Viridiplantae; Streptophyta; Magnoliopsida; Poales; Poaceae
Description: long non-coding RNA (ZMAY_LNC000412)
Source: RNAcentral
UCAACUCUAGCAAGGGACAAUUCACAGUGAGAGUUUUCUCUGCUGGAGCACUGUAGGGAAAGGACAAUGCAUAUUAAAUAAGAUCAAAAUUCAGAUGAAACGUUGAAGUUGUGCCCUCUGGGGAAAGCUGGCAGCAGAAAUCCUAGAGUGUGAGCAGGUAACUUUGAGGUUGUUUUUCCUGCAAUUUUCAAGGCCUCAAUUUUGUUAUUCACGUGUAUGCUUCUUGAAUUAUGGAAAAAGCCUGUAAGACAACACAUCCUUUUUUUUGUGCAAAACAUCCUUCUGUGGAGGUAGAUAAGGCAUCAAAACUGUAUUUUUAUUUGCAAAUGUAGCAACAAUAUACUGAUUUGAUGUACUUUUUCUAGGGUGUUCUGGACAAAGAAAGCUUGUACCUUAAAACAGGAGGAUACAAGAAGCUGGAGUGGUUGUUUGAAGGCUUUUGAACUGCUUGACACAUUAGUGUAGCUUUGGUGCUUUUGUGACUGAUCAUCUCUGGAGCUUUUGUGAAUGAUCUAGCUAGCUAUCUGUA